UACGUAGGGGGCAAGCGUUGUUCGGAUUUACUGGGCGUAAAGGGUGCGUAGGCGGCGUAACAAGUCACUUGUGAAAUCUCCGGGCUUAACUCGGAAUGGCCAAGUGAUACUGUUAUGCUAGAGUGCAGGAAGGGCAACUGGAAUUCUUGGUGUAGCGGUGAAAUGCGUAGAUAUCAAGAGGAACACCUGAGGCGAAGGCGAGUUGCUAGACUGACGCUGACGCUGAGGCACGAAAGCUAGGGGAGCGAACGGG
RNAcentral lists this ribosomal RNA (253 nucleotides) under uncultured bacterium. RNAcentral's name for it is "partial 16S ribosomal RNA". It matches the Rfam family "Bacterial small subunit ribosomal RNA", at positions 524 to 776 of the family's 1533-position model. The record is from RNAcentral.